RNAcentral lists this unclassified non-coding RNA (242 nucleotides) under plant metagenome. RNAcentral's name for it is "partial contains small subunit ribosomal RNA and internal transcribed spacer 1". The stretch from base 1 to 46 matches the Rfam family "Eukaryotic small subunit ribosomal RNA", at positions 1786 to 1831 of the family's 1831-position model. The record is from RNAcentral.
AAGUCGUAACAAGGUUUCCGUAGGUGAACCUGCGGAAGGAUCAUUAACGAAUUGUAAAGGAGAGUUGAUGCUGGUAGCUUUCGGGUUGCAUGUGCUCGCUCUCUGACAUUUCAUUAUCCAUACACCUGUGAACCUUUGAGGGAACCGAGUCUUUACGGAUUCGAGGCCCUCUUUUAUUAACACAUACCCCUUUAUAAAAUAUUGAACGUGAUAGUGCCGAAAGGCCAUAAUCAAAUAUACAA